This 682-nucleotide ribosomal RNA is filed under the name uncultured bacterium. Its description in RNAcentral is "bacterial SSU rRNA". It matches the Rfam family "Bacterial small subunit ribosomal RNA", at positions 8 to 675 of the family's 1533-position model. The record is from RNAcentral.
AGAGUUUGAUCCUGGCUCAGAUUGAACGCUGGCGGCAGGCUUAACACAUGCAAGUCGAACGGUAACAGGAAGCAGCUUGCUGCUUUGCUGACGAGUGGCGGACGGGUGAGUAAUGUCUGGGAAACUGCCUGAUGGAGGGGGAUAACUACUGGAAACGGUAGCUAAUACCGCAUAACGUCGCAAGACCAAAGUGGGGGACCUUCGGGCCUCAUGCCAUCAGAUGUGCCCAGAUGGGAUUAGCUAGUAGGUGGGGUAAUGGCUCACCUAGGCGACGAUCCCUAGCUGGUCUGAGAGGAUGACCAGCCACACUGGAACUGAGACACGGUCCAGACUCCUACGGGAGGCAGCAGUGGGGAAUAUUGCACAAUGGGCGCAAGCCUGAUGCAGCCAUGCCCGCGUGUAUGAAGAAGGCCUUCGGGUUGUAAAGUACUUUCAGCGAGGAGGAAGGCAUUAAGGUUAAUAACCCUUAGUGAUUGACGUUACUCGCAGAAGAAGCACUGGGCUAACUUCCGUGCCAGCAGCCGCGGUAAUACGGAGGGUGCAAGCGUUAAUCGGAAUUACUGGGCGUAAAGCGCACGCAGGCGGUCUGUUAAGUCAGAUGUGAAAUCCCCGGGCUCAACCUGGGAACUGCAUUUGAAACUGGCAGGCUUGAGUCUCGUAGAGGGGGGUAGAAUUUCCAGGU